This 279-nucleotide ribosomal RNA is filed under the name uncultured bacterium. RNAcentral describes it as "partial 16S ribosomal RNA". It matches the Rfam family "Bacterial small subunit ribosomal RNA", at positions 506 to 784 of the family's 1533-position model. The record is from RNAcentral.
UGCCAGCAGCCGCGGUAAUACGAAGGGUGCUAGCGUUGUUCGGAAUUACUGGGCGUAAAGAGCGCGCAGGCGGUCAGGUAAGUCGAAUGUGAAAGCCCCCGGCUCAACUGGGGAAGGUCAUUCGAUACUGCUUGACUUGAAGAUGGGAGAGGGAAGCGGAAUUUCCGGUGUAGUGGUGAAAUGCGUAGAUAUCGGAAGGAACACCAGUGGCGAAGGCGGCUUUCUGGCCCAUUCUUGACGCUGAGGCGCGAAAGCUAGGGGAGCGAACGGGAUUAGAUA